This 241-nucleotide long non-coding RNA is filed under the name Mustela putorius furo (domestic ferret). RNAcentral describes it as "lncRNA (ENSMPUG00000030170.1)". The record is from RNAcentral. Lineage: Eukaryota; Metazoa; Chordata; Mammalia; Carnivora; Mustelidae.
GGCCUGCGGACGUCUGAGUGUCGCGGUGGCCCCAGGAACCUUGGACGUCAGCCCCUCCCAGCCAGCACUGCUAACGCAGAGGGCUCUCACCUCGCGUGAUCACUUGUCUUCUGCAAAUGCCGGCGGUCACAGUGGCACAGAGAGCAGAUCCUGCCAUCCGAUGCCACCAGAUGUGUGCCACGAAUGAGGGAGGGACAUCGCUCCGCGCUUCAGAAUGCGUCCACCUGCGUCUCUGCCCGUC